This 490-nucleotide ribosomal RNA is filed under the name uncultured bacterium. Its description in RNAcentral is "partial 16S ribosomal RNA". It matches the Rfam family "Bacterial small subunit ribosomal RNA", at positions 30 to 507 of the family's 1533-position model. The record is from RNAcentral.
AUUGAACGCUGGCGGCAGGCCUAACACAUGCAAGUCGAACGGUAACAGGAAGAAGCUUGCUUCUUUGCUGACGAGUGGCGGACGGGUGAGUAAUGUCUGGGAAACUGCCUGAUGGAGGGGGAUAACUACUGGAAACGGUAGCUAAUACCGCAUAACGUCGCAAGACCAAAGAGGGGGACCUUCGGGCCUCUUUCCAUCGGAUGUGCCCAGAUGGGAUUAGCUAGUAGGUGGGGUAACGGCUCACCUAGGCGACGAUCCCUAGCUGGUCUGAGAGGAUGACCAGCCACACUGGAACUGAGACACGGUCCAGACUCCUACGGGAGGCAGCAGUGGGGAAUAUUGCACAAUGGGCGCAAGCCUGAUGCAGCCAUGCCGCGUGUAUGAAGAAGGCCUUCGGGUUGUAAAGUACUUUCAGCGGGGAGGAAGGGAGUAAAGUUAAUACCUUUGCUCAUUGACGUUACCCGCAGAAGAAGCACCGGCUAACUCCGUG